Long non-coding RNA from Tyto alba (common barn owl), 2943 nucleotides. RefSeq lists it as uncharacterized. The record is from RefSeq and is a predicted model, not a curated record. The transcript has 5 exons. NCBI's taxonomy places the organism in Eukaryota, Metazoa, Chordata, Aves, Strigiformes, Tytonidae.
ACAGGGGAGGGGAGCACCCACUGCGGAGCCUUUGCCGCAGCGCCGGGCAGGCGUGGUCCCUGCCGCCGGGGGAGGAGGAGGAGGAGCAGGAUGCAGAGAAUGCACCACCUCUCACUGCCUUCCCUCCCCGGCUGCCAGCCUUUUUCCAAGCCUCUCCCCCCUUGCUAGAUUUCCCCAUCCUUGAAAAGGGUGCUGGGAGGUGUUUGCAAGGGUGGUGUGUUUGGUUUUUUUUUUUUGUGUUUUUUUUUUUUAUUUUUUUUUUUUGUUGCGGGCUUUUUUAAUUUUUUUUUUUCCCCUCCCCCUUUGCUAAAUAAAUUAAAAGCAGAGAUGUCUCCUGAAGGAGAUGGAUGAGGCUGGGCUCGCAGCAAUGGAGUUGCUCACUUGCACGCACUGCCGCAGCCUUGAUCUGGUGUAGCGAGGGCACUGAUGGCAGAAGUGACCCUUCCCAGGCGGAGGGUGGGAGGCUUCCCCCCCCUGCCCCGACAUGCUCCCGAUUGGAAUUAAUUUUAAAUAGCAGAGUUGUUAUUUUUUAUUUUCUUUCCCCCUUUCCCUUAAAGAACAGCUUGCUCUUUCAGUGGUGUUUUUUUUUCUUGGUAGCCUGUGAGUUGAAGCUUCCUCAUGAUCGUGGGUUGGUUUUGUUUUUUGUUUUGUUUUUUUUUUUUCCCCUGUGUGUGUGUGUGCGUGUGUGUUUUGAAUUGCAUUUUAAAAUUGCCCAGCUGGAGACAAGUCUUGAUUAGAUCUGGAACAAUAGCUCCAUUUUAUUAAUAAUGGGAAGGAUUUACAAUCCUACAGCACCUUCUUUGGAAGGCUUUCAAAAUCAUUUGCAAACACUCACAAAUUUAAGAUUUCACAGCCCUUGUCUGUGAGAUGGGGAAAUAGAGGCUUGUUUGUGUAACCCCUCUCCACAGCAGAUACCUUCUUUGGAUGUGUUGGUUUGGAGAUCUGCCUCAUGCUCAUCAGAGGCCUUCGCUGGCAUGGAGGUCUGGUGGACCAAGAAGCUGGCUGGGCUGGAUGUUUCCACAUUUUUCAGCCUGGAAGACCAAAGUCCUCUCUGUCUAGCUGGUGAAAUGUCCUGUGUUUGGGAAAAACCCUUGUGAGUUGAGCGGGUACAGCUCUUUGGUACAUGGUUGCACAGAAGUUGGGAGGCAAGAGGAAGCAGGGCAGAAGACAGAACUGUGAUAUUUCUGAUUUUUCCAAACAACAGGCAAAAAAAGUAAGGUAUUAAUUCUAAUAUAUCUACUACAUUGUAAGCAAGAGUAAGCUCUUUUGCAGUCUUGUGAUGGCACAUGGUGUUUUGGUUCCAUGGCUCAGCAGUUGCACUCUGCUGCAGAAGAAACGUCUGUGUUUGUAUAUUUUGAAAACAGAAGUGUGCUUUUAUAUAUGUACAAAUGGGUUCAGUGUAAACUGAAUUCCAGGGGGCUCCUGAGCUGUGUUUACUGUGCUGCAGAGGGUAACCAGUGCUAACCCACCAGCUACAGUGGCGGUAUUUUGUGGCAGCUCCCAUCCCUGGUACUGUGUGGAUAAGAACACCACCACCAUGAAGUCUAGCGGGGAAGAGCGUUAGAAAAUAAAUUACUGAAUACUGGCUUUCAAAAACAUGAAGGGAGUUUUCUGGACAAGGGCAUCUCAUUGUGAAGAUCUGGAGCACUAACCCUCGAAGAGGAAAGAACCGAAACCAACAGCUUUAUUAAUACAAAUCCUAUACUUUGCAUUGCUUAGGAUCCAGAACCAGGCUUCGUGUUCGAAGUGUUAUCAGUGUGUAAGCCAAUAUCCUCUGUCUUGGCAACAAAUGAGCCCAAAUAUCAAACAGCACCAGUUCCUUCUCGGAGAAAAUUAUCCAUUGCAUAAAACGUAAUGGGUAAGCAAUAAAAUUAGGCCAGUAAUUCAGGCUGGCUUAAAAAUGAGAUAAAAGCCUAGCUGGCAAUCUGAUAUUCGGCUGCCAUACAGUCAUUUUAAUAAAGAAAGUAAAUGAGCAGGAAAGGCACGUAAAUACAUUUUACAAUGACAAGAUGGUGGCUGGAGCUGCCUGGCUUGAACAAAGAAACACUCCGAGUGUCUCUGGUGGGGUCCAGAGGCUCCUGUCUGGGUCACCUACUGUUUUUCUGUAAAAAAAACAAAGCAAGCUGGAUGCGUACUGGACAGUGAUGAGGAUAAUCAUUGCGUGCUGCUAAUGCGACCACUCUAAUCCAUGCGAGUCCCCGGUCGACGUAGCUAGCCAGUGUCCCCAACUACGGGGAGAGGCGCAAUGCCUCCCUUCCCCACCUCCAGCUGUGCUGCUGUGAGCACAAAAUGCAGAGCUAGUGCUAAGCCAGAACCAAGUAUAGGAAGUUACAGUCUUAGCAAACAUAGCUCUGGUUGCCGUCCUUGUUCGGUAUCUAAUCUUUGCUUUUUUAAAUGUUUGGCAAGCAGUCCUGGCGACACGUGGCAGCGAGCAACACCACUUGUGUAAGACGCCUCAUUAAAAAUAGUCGAUGGCUUUGUUUGCAAUCUGUGGAUGUCCCUCCCGGCCAGCCUGCCUGCAAGAUGGCCGUGUGACAGCAGUGACCCUGCAUGAGGUUUCUUCUGAAGGACCUGGGAGCCGGCGUGGUUGUCUCCUGUCCCUUAGAGGUGCCGCCCUAGCAGGGAGGGUGGGGAGGAACGGUUGGAAAUCCUGUUGCAGCAAGCACGUUCCAUUGGAGAGGAGAGAGUUCGGCACUGAAAGCCGUUUGAUGCGUGGUUUGGGUUUCUUCCUCUCCGAAAUGGAUGCCUGUAGAGCCCGUUAAAGGUAUAGACACGUAGCAACUGCUCUUUGGGCUUCUGACCAGUUAAAACAGAAAACCAAGCCCAUUUCCACAGAAAAGAAACAUGCGGUGAAAAGUGCUGGUGGAGCGUGUUGGCAGUGCAUUUUCUUGUGUGCAUGUGGCUCUGUCACAUGUUUUAAAUAAUAGAUGGUUUGCAUGCAAA